Molecule: ribosomal RNA, 405 nt
Filed under: uncultured bacterium
Lineage: Bacteria
Description: partial 16S ribosomal RNA
Rfam family: Bacterial small subunit ribosomal RNA
Source: RNAcentral
AUUGAACGCUGGCGGCAGGCCUAACACAUGCAAGUCGAACGCGUGGCGGACGGGUGAGUAAUGUCUGGGAAACUGCCUGAUGGAGGGGGAUAACUACUGGAAACGGUAGCUAAUACCGCAUACCAUCAGAUGUGCCCAGAUGGGAUUAGCUUGUUGGUGGGGUAACGGCUCACAAAGGCGACGAUCCCUUGCUGGUCUGAGAGGAUGACACGCCACACUGGAACUGAGACAGGGUCCAGACUCUGACUGGAGGCAGCAGGGGGAAAUAUUGCACAAUGGGCGCAAGCCUGAUGCAGCCAUGCCGGGUGUAUGAAGAAGGCCUUCGGGUUGUAAAGUACUUUCAGCGGGGAGGCGUUACCCGCGGAAGAAGCACCGGCUAACUCCGUGCCAGCAGCCGCGGUAUUC